RNAcentral lists this ribosomal RNA (253 nucleotides) under uncultured bacterium. RNAcentral's name for it is "partial 16S ribosomal RNA". It matches the Rfam family "Bacterial small subunit ribosomal RNA", at positions 524 to 776 of the family's 1533-position model. The record is from RNAcentral.
UACGUAGGUGACCAGCGUUGUCCGGAUUUACUGGGCGUAAAGAGCGCGCAGGCGGUCGUUCAAGUCGAGUGUGAAAGCCCCCGGCUCAACUGGGGAGGGUCACUCGAUACUGAUCGACUUGAAGGCAGGAGAGGGAAGCGGAAUUCCCGGUGUAGUGGUGAAAUGCGUAGAUAUCAGGAGGAACACCGGUGGCGAAGGCGGCUUCCUGGACAAAAACUGACGCUGAGGCGCGAAAGCUAGGGGAGCAAACAGG